This 237-nucleotide ribosomal RNA is filed under the name Triticum aestivum (bread wheat). RNAcentral describes it as "partial small subunit ribosomal RNA". The record is from RNAcentral. Lineage: Eukaryota; Viridiplantae; Streptophyta; Magnoliopsida; Poales; Poaceae.
AUGGUGGUCUGUCUGCUUGAAUCCGCGUCAUGCCUCCUACUGAAGCAAAUUGGGGUCACCAGUGGAAGCAGAUGGUCUCUGGUCUCACAGAGGUUCCAGAAGAAGAGGGUUGUCUGCGAGGCGGCGCAGCUGCAAGCGCUGGAGCGCGGCGUGGCCGACCUUGAGAAGGGUGUUGAGUCCCUAUUCAGGAGGUUGAUCCAGAGCAGGGUUUCACUCCUGAACAUCCUUAGCUACUAG